ACUCAAAUGAAUUGACGGGGGCCCGCACAAGCAGCGGAGCGUGCGGUUUAAUUCGAUGGUACGCGAAGAACCUUACCCAGGCUUGACAUGCAUGUGGUACCAAACCGAAAGGUGAGGGACUCGCAAGGGAGCAUGCACAGGUGUUGCACGGCUGUCGUCAGCUCGUGUCGUGAGAUGUUGGGUUAAGUCCCGCAACGAGCGCAACCCUCGGGGUCUGUUGUAUCUCUCAGACCCGACUGCCGAGAGAAACUCGGAGGAAGGUGGGGAUGACGUCAAGUCAGCGUGGCCCUUACGCCUGGGGCUACACGCACGCUACAAUGACCGGUCACAGCGAGAUGCGACGUCGCAAGGCGAAGCUAAUCUCUUAAAACCGGCCUCAGUUCAGAUCGGAGGCUGCAACUCGCCUCCGUGAAGUCGGAGUUGCUAGUAACCGGGGGUCAGCACACCCCGGUGAAUAUGUUCCCGGGCCUUGUACACACCGCCCGU
RNAcentral lists this ribosomal RNA (486 nucleotides) under uncultured bacterium. RNAcentral describes it as "partial 16S ribosomal RNA". It matches the Rfam family "Bacterial small subunit ribosomal RNA", at positions 899 to 1397 of the family's 1533-position model. The record is from RNAcentral.